This is a long non-coding RNA of Salvelinus sp. IW2-2015, 1428 nucleotides long. RefSeq lists it as uncharacterized. NCBI's taxonomy places the organism in Eukaryota, Metazoa, Chordata, Actinopteri, Salmoniformes, Salmonidae. The record is from RefSeq and is a predicted model, not a curated record.
GGCCGGCAGCCUAGCGAGCGUUAACACGCUUAAAUGUUUUACGUUGGCCACAGAGAAUGUGAGCCCACAGUUCUCGGGAGCAGCCUGCGUCGGUGGCAUUGUUAUCUUCAAAACGGGAGGUGUUUAGCUUGUCCAGUGGCAAGACGUCGGUGUCCUCAAUGUGACGGCUUUUCCCUUAGUAAUCCGUGAUUGUCUGGAGUCCUUGCCACAUACGGCUCAUGUCUGAGCCAUUGAAAUGCGACUCCAAUCCCCAGUAGAAGCAAUCCUUCAUAGGAAUGAAUGGUAUUCUACAGUAUUUCAGUUAAAUGUUUCAAGUACAAAAUGACAUGUAUUUGUUGUAGUGGGGACAGUAGCAUUAGUAAUUUCCCAAAAUGGUACAUAAAAACAAUUUAUUUUAUGUAUUUUUUUAUAUAUAUUUGUAAAGUAUUUAUUAAGGUUACUGUAAUAGAAUAACGCUAACUACCUAUGCCAAAUCGUCCAGCAUAAUUAAUGAGUUAAUGAGAGAGAGCGCGAGGUGGAACAUCAGAUGAGGUUUUCAUAGACCAGUAUACUCUACACUGGUUGGUUGGUGACAGCUCACAUGGGCCGUGUUGACUGGCGCAACCACCUGUCAAUCACAACGUACAUUGCCAGGUUACCACUUGCGCGAUGUCCACCUGUUAGUUGUCAUAGCGGAAAAAUCAGUGUUGAGACCUUCUUGCUGCCCGUCUCUGCAUGAUUGCAGAAGGCAAUGAGCUCCGUCGGCUCUUUUUAAAAAUGGCGGGUGGGGAAGCGAAACCUACUGUGAUAGGGAAAGGGGGAGACAAGCCAUGCUGCAAUCCACUCCCAGUUAGAUGGGGUCUGUUCAGGCCUCUAUCAGCUCCCUGGGGGACAUGAAGGACAUCCAGAACUCUCUGGCAGAAGUCAGCAAUGACUGRAGGCAAGGCAUCAACACCAUUGAACCUGCCGUAUGUAAAAUAUGCUGGGAUGCAACACAGUCAGCUUACCUCAGCCAUGGAGAAUCUGAAGAAUAUAUUUUCAGGUAUGUUCCGCUGCAGCCAUUACAUGCCACUUGAUUGGGAACUAUUAUUGUUGGCUUGCAUUGCAUUUGAUGUGAGAGUACUGUUACAUUGUAUUAGUGUAUUUUCCCUCAACUGUGUCCUCAAUUAAUACUUACAAAAGUAUUUCUGUACUGCUCUCUCUGUGACUCAUGUAUAGGGCCCUGUGUUUUGGUUAACAGUUUCGCUAAGCAGUUACCCUCAAACAACUUGUUUGAAGGUGAAAUCACAGUAGGAGAAAACCUAAAACCUUAGAUUUUUGUUACAGCAGCACACUGACAUUAUAAAAGGCAAGGGGUUGAAUGGGCCAACAUGAAGGGUGACUACCUCAUGAAGCUAGUGGAGAGAAUGCCAGGAGUGUGCAAAGCUGUCAAGGCAAAGGAUGGCUACU